Molecule: ribosomal RNA, 248 nt
Filed under: uncultured bacterium
Lineage: Bacteria
Description: partial 16S ribosomal RNA
Rfam family: Bacterial small subunit ribosomal RNA
Source: RNAcentral
AGUAACACGUGGGUAACCUGCCUUAUAGUGGGGGAUAGCCUUUCGAAAGGAAGAUUAAUACCGCAUAAGAUUGUAGUAUCGCAUGAUAUAGCAAUUAAAGGAGCAAUUCGCUAUAAGAUGGACCCGCGUCGCAUUAACUAGUUGGUGAGGUAAUGGCUCACCAAGGCGACGAUGCGUAGCCGACCUGAGAGGGUGAUCGGCCACAUUGGGACUGAGACACGGCCCAGACUCCUACGGGAGGCAGCAUG